GAUCCUGGCUCAGGAUGAACGCUGGCGGCGUGCUUAACACAUGCAAGUCGAACGAAGCACUUUAUUACGAUUUCUUCGGAAUGACGAUUUGGUGACUGAGUGGCGGACGGGUGAGUAACGCGUGGGUAACCUGCCUUAUACAGGGGGGAUAACAGUUGGAAACGGCUGCUAAUACCGCAUAAGCGCACAGGGUCGCAUGACCUGGUGUGAAAAACUCCGGUGGUAUGAGAUGGACCCGCGUUGGAUUAGCUGGUUGGUGAGGUAACGGCCCACCAAGGCGACGAUCCAUAGCCGACCUGAGAGGGUGACCGGCCACAUUGGGACUGAGACACGGCCCAAACUCCUACGGGAGGCAGCAGUGGGGAAUAUUGCACAAUGGGCGAAAGCCUGAUGCAGCGACGCCGCGUGAGCGAAGAAGUAUUUCGGUAUGUAAAGCUCUAUCAGCAGGGAAGAUAAUGACGGUACCUGACUAAGAAGCACCGGCUAAAUACGUG
This 494-nucleotide ribosomal RNA is filed under the name uncultured bacterium. RNAcentral describes it as "bacterial SSU rRNA". It matches the Rfam family "Bacterial small subunit ribosomal RNA", at positions 15 to 507 of the family's 1533-position model. The record is from RNAcentral.